RNAcentral lists this unclassified non-coding RNA (304 nucleotides) under Hevea brasiliensis (rubber tree). Lineage: Eukaryota; Viridiplantae; Streptophyta; Magnoliopsida; Malpighiales; Euphorbiaceae. The record is from RNAcentral.
UUGAGUUCAUGAUGGACUCCGAGAUUAGUAGAAUGCUUGCUACCCCAUAUACUGAUAAGUCUUCAAAUCCUAAUCAACCAGCCUUUGGUUGCGGCCAAGACAAACGCUACUGCCUCCCAGAGAAAAAUAACAAUUGCCGCAGUGUGUACCAACGGGAUUGCUAAUUGGCAUAUUUUACUACUACUGUCUCAACUAUUCCGUGCAGAUGGAUUAAAAUUGUUGUUUACAAAUAAAUGGUCAGUCAUGUAUUCUUCUUCUCCUUCUCUUCUAAUUUUAAUGUUUGCAUCAUUAUUGAUAAAAAAAA